AAAACAUCUUCUCUUGAUUUUAUAUUUGAGAUAGGGCCUGCCCAAUGAUUUUUUAAUGGCCGCGGUAUUUUGACCGUGCAAAGGUAGCAUAAUCAUUAGCUUAAUAAUUGUAAGCUUGUAUGAAUGGUACGACGAAACAUUAACUGUCUCUUAUUUAUUAUUAGAACUUAAAUUUUUAGUAAGAAUGCUUAAAUUUAUUUAUUAGACGAGAAGACCCUAUAGAUCUUUAUUAAUAAUAUUUUAAUAUUGUUUAGUUUAUUUGUUUUUUAAAAAAUUUUUAUUUUUGUUGGGGUGACAUGGAGAUAUUUAUAACUCAUUAUUUUAUUUUACAUUAAUUUAUGUUUAAUUGACCUUUAUUUAUUGUUAUAAGAUUAAGAUACCUUAGGGAUAACAGCGUAAUUUCUUUUGAGAGUUCUUAUUGACAAGGAAGAUUGCGACCUCGAUGUUGGAUUAAGAUUAAAUUUUGGUGCAGAAGCUAAAAAAUUAGGUCUGUUCGACCUUUAAAUUCUUACA
RNAcentral lists this ribosomal RNA (513 nucleotides) under Neopromachus scharreri. Its description in RNAcentral is "partial 16S ribosomal RNA". It matches the Rfam family "Bacterial large subunit ribosomal RNA", at positions 1810 to 2600 of the family's 2925-position model. The record is from RNAcentral. Lineage: Eukaryota; Metazoa; Arthropoda; Insecta; Phasmatodea; Phasmatidae.